This 103-nucleotide small nuclear RNA is filed under the name Rhipicephalus microplus (southern cattle tick). Lineage: Eukaryota; Metazoa; Arthropoda; Arachnida; Ixodida; Ixodidae. The record is from RNAcentral.
GUACUUUGGAAGUACAUAUGCUAAAAUUGGAUUGAUACAGAGAAGAUUAGCAUGGCCCCUGCGCAAGGAUGACACGCAAAAUCGUGAAGCGUUCCCCAUUUUU